UUGAGUCAAAGACCGGGGCGCACAAGUGAGGCAGGCCUCUCGCCAGUGGACGCCUGGAGAGGGCUGAGCGGUUGCCAUCCCUGCCCUGUGGGGGAGACUAGUGGGGUCCUUUAGGGAGAGCUGGCCACCCUGGGUGUCUGACCGAGGCCGAUACGGAACAGAGGCCCUGCCAGCUAGAGGUGGACAUGUCACAGGAGUGAGAAACCCACCCUUCUGUUCUUAAGCCACUUGUUGGCAACUUUCUCAGGCAGAGAAUGAAGACUUUAGGCUCGUCACAGGCCCUUGACUCUGCUGUAGACAAUGUGUGAGAGAAGGCAUGCUUGUGGCUGUGUUCUGAUGAAACUGUAUUUAUAAAGUGAAGUGGCCAGCUGGCAGGCCUUAAAUUUUUCACCCCAUUCGAAACCUUGAGGACUGGGGGUUUGUGUGUUUUCGCACCAUGACCUGGCCACACUGACGAUGGCAGGUCCAUUCGUGACCUUGCCUGUCUAGGUAAUGGAACCUGCCUAUGUGUGUGGAAUGCAUCUGACUUUGUCUGAAGAUCUGUGAUUUUUCCUCUUGGAUCCUCUUCCCACCCUUCUCCCAGCUCUCUGUCCUGGGAUAUUGGCCUUUAGGGACCUUGUCGGUGACUUUGCCUGGAAAGGUGACUUCACUCCUCUCGGGCGUCCAGCUGGAUCUGGCCCGUGGAGAGCACUGUCAGGACAGGCGAGGACAGAAGCCACUCAGUGUUUAUUGGAUCUGCAAGCAAGUCAGUGGAUGUUGCAUUUUCAUGGAACACUUAGCACAGCACCCUCCACGGUCCUGGUCCAACCAGUUUCCAGCUCUGUGGCCCCUGGUACCUCAUUUCAACUCCCUCCUGUCAUAGAUGAGAUCCACAGCGAUGCCUGCCUCCGAGCCAGCCUGGUGAAGUCAGCACCAGCAAAUGGCCCACACUCGCCAUGCCCUCCACAUGGCCCAGAAGAUGGGGCAUCUGGACGUGAACAGCCCUUGGGCAGGGUGGGGACUGGAGUGCUCCCCACCAACCUGGGCCCCUGCAAGAAUAAAGAUUUCACAAAUGAG
This 1056-nucleotide long non-coding RNA is filed under the name Mustela putorius furo (domestic ferret). Its description in RNAcentral is "lncRNA (ENSMPUG00000023960.1)". Lineage: Eukaryota; Metazoa; Chordata; Mammalia; Carnivora; Mustelidae. The record is from RNAcentral.